RNAcentral lists this long non-coding RNA (1481 nucleotides) under Androctonus crassicauda. The record is from RNAcentral. Lineage: Eukaryota; Metazoa; Arthropoda; Arachnida; Scorpiones; Buthidae.
AUUUCGUGAAGAUAACUAGUAGUAGUGCCGAUUUUCUAGCCACUGUCUUAAAACUUAUGGGACGCACUGUGUAUAUUGUCUUCGCUGGGCUAUUGCUUGAUUCUUUUGGUGAUUUGUUUUCUUCGUAAUAUCUCUUCUAUUUUUGUGUAUCCUUCGUUUGUAAGUUUCUAUUUGUCAGGUAUUUAAUAAAUCGUUAUACUGCUUUUAUCCAAAUAUUAAGACUUAUCACCUUCCACAUCGGGUUAGAGUUUCGAAUGUUGAAAUUAAAUUAUCUUCCGCAGAUGGUUCAAGUGAAUUUUGCGUUUUCAAAUAUUGAUAGAUCUUACAGGUAUUGUUAUAUAACUGUUUGGUUUUUUGUGUUAACGAAUAUCCUCCUGCGAGAUGUAAUAACCGACGGAAUCCAAGUAUUUCAGGUAACUUUUCUGGUGUUGUUCGUACAUUCCUUCUGCUUGCAAUUUCGGUUCUACCGAUGAUGGAGGAAACCGUAUACGUUUUGGAGCAACGAUAGCAAAGGGGGACUACUGCUAGCCUGUGGUGCUGAUUGUGUGAAAGCAGGUGGAUAUGUCGGUAAUGGCGACUGUAUUAAAGUUGGCGGAAGUAAUAGUAAUGAUGACUGUGUUAAAAGUCAGGUGAAGAUGAUAGUAAUAUUGUUACAGCUGGUGUUGAUCUUGGCAUAAAUGAUGUUGCAAAUACUUUUAAGAUUAAGAAAUUAUCGGAUUCUCGAUAGAAACAGAUGUAAUUUUCAGAAGAAGCAUAGGUAAAGAUCGUAUCUUUCCAUUCCUGACAGAGAGCAAAGAAAAAGUAUAUAUGUAGUUACUAAAUUGAUGGACUGUAAGGCAGUGAGGUUUGUAAUGUGUGACUUCAACUUGGCAGUUGGCGAUAGAGCAUUUUCUAUUCUUUUCAAUGGUCAUCUAAGAAUAAAAUGUCGAAUUAUAAUAUGUAACAUAGUAAUGUCCUCGACGUGCCGAGUCGUUAGAUACACGACAUGCCGGUGACGGUCCCUGAUCCGUUCGGGUUUACCAGGUGAAACCCCUCGUCGAGACGUAUCGUUCGAUGUAUCACACGCCCUCGUUCGACUACAUGAAAUUUAAGAUUUCCCCAUAGGGGUUAGGGACCGUCACCAUCGUGUAGCUGCCGCUAUUAAGAGUCCGAUGAUAUAUUACACGCCUAUAACGCUGUAAUAUUUAUUUGAGAGAUUUUUUUCGUCUUAACUACAUAAAAAACUUAUGCAUGUUUUUAUAUAGGUAGAUAUCAUUAUAAACUAGUUCUAAUAGUUGCAACGUAGUAGAAUAUUGUAGUAGUAAGAAUGAACGGUAGAAGUAUGGUGAUUAGAAGUAUUUUGGCGGCGAUGGCUAGAAGUAUCAUGGCGGCGUUGACGUCAAUGCUAUACUGCAAUGAAAGUUUCUCGUAAAUAGAUGUACCUUGUUUAGAAAUACUACUGCUAUAUUGGGAUGUUAAGGUUUCUUGCAUAGAAGUACCGG